Armigeres subalbatus is the source of this 794-nucleotide long non-coding RNA. RefSeq lists it as uncharacterized. The transcript has 3 exons. Lineage: Eukaryota; Metazoa; Arthropoda; Insecta; Diptera; Culicidae. The record is from RefSeq and is a predicted model, not a curated record.
UCAGCGGCCUCAGCGGCGGUGGUGCGCCAUUUUUAUUUUGAGCUCUUCCAAGAGUGAAAGUUCUUUUUCGUUCUAAAUUUAAAUUUUGUUUUAAGUAUUUAAUAUUGUGAUAAACAUAUAUAAACUGCUAAUGUUUUAAAAAUAAUUGUGACAGUGAAAAAAGUGUAUUUAAAAACGGCGGUUUCGGUCACUUCUUGAGGUUUUGUCAUCCGUUAAAUCCAAAAAGCGAUCCGCUGUUUGCUGCCUCUGUAUGCGUCCCAACAGGAAGUUUAAUGAUGUUGGUCAAACUGUCAGCAAUGACCAAGAGAAAGUCCCGUCGUACUUUGACUCCAAGAGUCGGCCGAUUCUCGGGAAGCUAAAACAUGAAAAGCGGAGUUUCAGUCACCGCCGGUUGCGGAAUAAAACGUUUUCUGCGAUAUUGGAGUAAAACAAGAUUGAAGAUGUCGAGAAAAAGUACUCCAAACAUUGGACACAAGGUUGUCCAAUUCGAUUUGCCGAUAAUAAACAACUAUAUAUAUAAUCUACUUCUCCUAUUUUGUGGGAAAAUUGAAUUUAAUCCCCAAGCUCACUAGCGGAACGACGACGGAAGUGGCACAGGAUUUGACAGAAAGUAUUUGAUGUCGUCCAAGAGCACCAAAUUCCGUGCCGCUCGAUUACGUUCAUUCCAUGGUGCGGUGGUGACUCGUCUGAAACAAGGCCGGAAGUUUUGAGUGAGGGAUCGCUCACCAUUUGCUCACCAUCGCUCACCGGAUCGGAAAUUCUCGUUCAGGAUGACACGAUUCCCUUGUCUAAUA